GAGCGGCUUGUACUCCCCGAGGCUUCAACAGAGGGUCUGGAGCUGGGAGCUGCAGGUGGCCAGGAGGCGUUCAGUCCUACAGGAACAGACGGAGGUGACGGAGGCGGUCGUCCUGGUGGUGCUCGUCUGGAGGUCCGUGGCGGUCCUCUGGAGGUGCUCGUCUGGAGGUCCGUGGCGGUCGUCUGGAGGUGCUCGCCGUGAGGUCCGUGGCGGUCGUCUGGAGGCGCUCGCCGUGAGGUCCGUGGCGGUCGUCUGGAGGUGCUCGCCGUGAGGUCCGUGGCGGUCGUCUGGAGGCGCUCGCUGCAGAUGGAGGGAAGGCCGGGAGCUGUGCAGCCCAACGGAUGCAGAACGGUGAGACGCGGAACUGCACAGCUGCACAUUUCUUUCUAGGCUUGGUGAAUUGUUUAGAAUUAAACCUUUGACAUGCAGCCACAGCAGCUUUGAAGUGUUCUGAAAAAUGUCCGCUGCAUUCUCAGCCACUAGGACCAGCUCCAGGAUGUAGGCUAGGUGUGUGUGGCUGGCUGUUGGGUUAAAUAAUGCCUCACUCAAGGCUGCACAGUAGGGCAUCAGGGAGAUCUGUGGGAGCUAAAGCAGAGGAGUUGAUGAUCUGCAUCAUGUACGGGGAGAAAUGUGCAGUGUGCAACUGGAACGUGUCAUUCGCCUUUCAGAAGGACUGAGGCGGAGGCCAGCCUGGAGGCGGAGGCCAGCCUGGAGGCGGCGGUGGCCUGGAGGUCCUGGAGGCGUCCAACCUGGAAGGGGCGGCAUGGAGGGCCAGAAGGGCCUGGAGGCGGCCAACCUGGAAGGCCUGGAGACGGCAGAGGUCCUGGAGGCAACGGCGGGCCUGGAGGCGGAGGCCAACCUGGAGGUCCUGGAGGCGGUGGCAGCGGCCAUCCUGGAGGAGGACAACCUGGAGGUCCUGGAGAGCCUCGAGGCGCCGGCGGCAGCCAUCCUGGAGGCGACGGCGGAGACCAACCUGGAGGGCCUGGAAAGGUGGUACGGACCAACCUGGAGGUCCUGGCGGUGGCGUCCACCUGGCGGCGGCGGCGGCGUCCUGGAGGGCCCGGCGGUGGCGGCGUCCUGGAGGGCCCCGGCGGCGGCGGUGGCGGCGUCCUGGAGGGCCCCGGCGGCGGCGGUGGCGGCGUCCUGGAGGGCCCCGGCGGCGGCGGCGUCCUGGAGGGCCCCGGUGGCGUCCUGGAGGGCCCCGGCGGCGUCCUGGAGGGCCCGGCGGCGGCGGCGUCCUGGAGGGCCCGGCGGCGGCGGCUCCUCAUCCAAAAUGAGGCGACGUUUCGGAGGUCCAGGCGGUCGGCCCGGUGGAGGUCCUGGAGGAGACGGUCCCGGCGGUGGAGGUCCAGGUGGGUGGCCCGGUGGAGGUCCUGGAGGAGACGGUCUCGGCGGUGGAGGACGGCUGGGGGAUCCGGCGGUGGAGGUCCGAAGGCGGCUCGUGAUUAGACCAACCAGCUCCUCAUCCAUGGAAGGUUCAAUAAAGUUGACCUCUCCUUCAGGCGACUUGAAGGGAGACCAGAUGUGCGGCAGCUGGGUGUCGCGGUGCAGAGACCCAACGCUGCACUGAACUACACCAGUGUGUCCUACGCCCCCAUAAACCCUGAGGAUCCCUGGCUACACCAGCACAUUAAUCCACACCCAACAUUAACACGCAGUGCACACUCUAUAGAGUUUGUAAGUCCGCCCCUUGCGGCGGGACCUCGUGAGAUCGUAAGAUAUGACUGGGUUUCAAUGGAGAGAAAGUCAUUAUUUUCUCCAUUAUGUUGCACCACAUUUUGGGGGAAGAAUGUUUGAAUCAAUCUUUGUCAUUUAUUUCCGUACUCCAUAUCUGUAAUCCCAGCUGUUGUAUUUUAACACGGUAGCUGGGAAUCCUCUUUAUAGGGAGCGACUAGAGGGACGAGGCUGGAAGCAAACCUGAGCCUGGCUCUUAACCUUCUUUCUAAACCUAAUGCCGCAAUUUAACCGCAAAUAAAGUGAGGCCUAAAGUAACUUGACUCUCUUACCUAAACUUGCUUGCCUAAACUCGCUUGUCUAAACUCGCUUGCAUAAAAUCUGAACUUGCUUGGCUAAACUCGCGUCACUUGCCUAAUACCUGAACUCGCUUGCCUAAACUCGCUUGCCUAAACUCGCUUGCCUAAACUCGCUUGCCUAAACUCGCUUGCCUAAUACCUGAACUCUCUUGCCUGAACUCUCUUGCCUGAACUCUCUUGCCUGAACUCUCUUGCCUGAACUCUCUUGCCUGAACUCUCUUGCCUGAACUCUCUUGCCUGAACUCUCUUGCCUGAACUCUCUUGCCUGAACUCUCUUGCCUGAACUCGCUUGCCUGAACUCGCUUGCCUGAACUCGCUUGCCUAAACUCGCUUGCCUAAACUCGCUUGCCUAAACUCGCUUGCCUAAACUCGCUUGCCUAAAACCUAACUUGCUCAGCUUGACUCGCUUGCAUAAUAACUGAACUCGCUUGCAUAAAACUUGCUUAGCUUGACUCGCUUGCCUGUACUUGCUUGGCUAAACUCGCUUGCCUAAUACCUGAAGUCGCUUGCCUGAAGUCGCAUGCCUAAUACCUGAAGUCGCUUGCCUAAAACCUAAACUUGCUUGUCCAAACAUGUUACACAAAGUUAACCAUCCAUAAUCUUUAACCCAAACCAGACUUGUCCCUGGGUCGCUCCACUAUAAUUUAGAAGUUUCUUCUUUUACCUCAUCUGCGUUUUGAGUUUCAUUCUUUGAGGGCUUGAAGUGCUUUGGAGGAUAUUUGAACCUUUGUUUGCCGCAUUUGUUCGCCAAAUGUUCAGUGUCCUUUGACGUAAUGUCUAUGGUCUGACGAUAAUCUGACCUCUUCAUGAAGCAGAAUGUGUGUGAAUGUUGUCCCGUGAGCUCCAGGCUCUCAGGAAUACUCCCUGAGUAUUUCAGACCUGUGGUGUUUCACAUGAGACCUUAAUGGGAACUUUUCUUUUUCUGCCUGCAUACGUAAUGCCUACAUUAGUAGGGUGAUCACUGUUGAUCCCAAUAUUGAUCAUUAACCACCUCAUUCUUUUAUGAUUUCUUUCGAUAAGGAUUACAAAUCAUGUAAUUUAUGAGCAUAUUUGCAAAUGGCUCCAAAUAUCAGAUUCUGUAAAAACUAAUGAAAUGUAACCUGCUAGAAAAUAAAACAUCCAAAUAUUAUAAACCUGUUUUGUGUUGCUCUCUUACCAUGUGGAAAUGAAACGCAGAUAGAUAUGUUUAGCUCUGAUUUGCUGCCUCCUUUUGGUGUGGUGCUGGGAUUUGUUUAAUAUAUUAUCAUUUCCAGGAUAAGUUAAUAACCUAGCAUAGCCUACCCGGAAAAGAAGGG
Molecule: long non-coding RNA, 3328 nt
Filed under: Gadus morhua (Atlantic cod)
Lineage: Eukaryota; Metazoa; Chordata; Actinopteri; Gadiformes; Gadidae
Description: lncRNA (ENSGMOG00000024291.1)
Source: RNAcentral